GCAAAGGAGCCCAGGAAGGGAUGGUCAGCAAAUCAUGGAGGGAGAAUCAAGGCAUCAAGGGAGGAACUUCAAGAAGAAGAAUGAAGUGGCCAGGACAUGCUAUGGAGAACUUAAAUAAGAUAAAGCCUCAGAGUUGUCCCUGGGUCUUGUGACGUGGAAGACUUUGUGAUGCUUGCAAGAACUGCUAGUGGCAUGGGUGAAGCCUCAUAGGAGGGUGCUGAGAAUGAAGGACAAGUUACAAGGGAAGACAACCAAAGAUGACGUCUUCCUGAUGCUUGGUCCUUGAAGGAAUGAGAGAGGAAAGGAAAUAGACACAGGAUAAAGGGCAAGUGCUUGAAAAUGGGAGGCAUUGGAACACUUUGAGUAAUGAAUGAAAAGAAGCUAGUAGAGAAGGAGGAGUUGAAAAUGAAGCAGAGAAAGGCUAAAUUAUGGAGCUGUGUCCAUUAAGGUCAGGAGAGCGGGGGUCCAUUGAUAAGUCUUGAGUGAGCUUUCAACAAGGAGAAGGUGGUUUUUCUUCAAAGCGAAAUGGAGAGAGGAGGUUAAAGAUCUCUGAAUUUUGGAUGAGAAUGCAUGGCUGUGUGAUUUGACCUGAAUUAGCCGGCAAAAAGAAAUCUUCAGAUUUUAAACUACUAAGUGCAACAAAAUAAUGACACCUUUUGCAAACAUUACAAGAUAAUAGGAGGUGGUCCAGUCAUUUAUGAAGCAAUGAGAUAUAUGGAAAUGUUGUGUUCUGAACUGCCCGUGUGAGACGGCAGUGUCCCAGCAAACGGCUGACCACUCUAGUUCCGCAGCAUGAUAACUUGUGGAUGUUUUCUCCAGUCGGCUUUUUCAAGGUCAAGAUUGAGGGUGAUCCUGAGAAGAGAGCCGUGGCCACUGCCUACACCCUGUUCCCAGCCAACUGUCUAAAGAUGUGUGCUGAUGUUCACAUGUUAGAGGACGAGCAGAAAUUAGGCAGGGACAAGUGCAAAUGUACUCCUGAGAGUGACAGGCUAAUUCACCAUCUACCUACUCCGGCCCAGAAGAUGGCAAAUCUGUGGCAUCAUCUCCAUAAAGGAAGGAGAGUCUGUUAUUGUAGACGCCAAUUAGUGAGGGGAAAAAAGGAUUGCUAGUUUGAAAGCACUUUGUCACUUCGAAAAUCAAGCUCAGCAAACAGGGGGACAUACAAUGCAAUUUUGAAAUACUGCAUAACUGUCAUAUUCUGGCAGGUUUGGCAAUAUUUCCAUUUAUGUGAAAGUGUGUGAUGCUAAUUUUUACUGUACUUCUAUCUAGGUGCUUCUGUUGAUAAUUGGCCAGAAGUUAAAAGGCUCUAUGUAGUUAAGCCAAAAUUCCAUCCACACAAAUGAAAUAGAGGAUAUUUCCUU
Leopardus geoffroyi (Geoffroy's cat) is the source of this 1361-nucleotide long non-coding RNA. RefSeq lists it as uncharacterized. The transcript has 3 exons. The record is from RefSeq and is a predicted model, not a curated record. NCBI's taxonomy places the organism in Eukaryota, Metazoa, Chordata, Mammalia, Carnivora, Felidae.